UCACACAUGCAAGUCGAGCGGUAACAGAGAGAAGCUUGCUUCUUUGCUGACGAGUGGCGCACGGGUGAGUAAUAUAUAGAUAAUGUGCCUCUUAGUCUGGGAUAGCCAUUGGAAACGAUGAUUAAUACUGGAUACUCCUUCUUACCAUAAGGUAAGUUGGGAAAGUUUUUCGCUAAGAGAUCGGUCUAUAUCCCAUCAGCUUGUUGGUAGUGUAAGAGACUACCAAGGCAAUGACGGGUAGCGGGUUUGAGAGGAUGAUCCGCCACACUGGUACUGAGACACGGACCAGACUCCUACGGGAGGCAGCAGUGAGGAAUAUUGCACAAUGGGGGAAACCCUGAUGCAGCAACGCCGCGUGGAGGAUGACGCAUUUCGGUGUGUAAACUCCUUUUAUAUGUCAAGAAAAUGACGGUAGCAUAUGAAUAAGCACCGGC
Molecule: ribosomal RNA, 434 nt
Filed under: uncultured Campylobacterota bacterium
Lineage: Bacteria; Pseudomonadati; Campylobacterota
Description: bacterial SSU rRNA
Rfam family: Bacterial small subunit ribosomal RNA
Source: RNAcentral